This is a long non-coding RNA of Ruditapes philippinarum (Manila clam), 2872 nucleotides long. RefSeq lists it as uncharacterized. Lineage: Eukaryota; Metazoa; Mollusca; Bivalvia; Venerida; Veneridae. The record is from RefSeq and is a predicted model, not a curated record. The transcript is spliced from 3 exons.
UAUGGCAGUACUUUUCUUUAGGGAUGUAAAAUUUGACUUUCAAGUCAAAAUGUUUAUGUUCCAUUCUAUGCUUGUAAAAUAAAAUUACGGCUUUUAAAGUGUACUUUGUUCUUUAGUUAUAAUCUGUACAUUAAUUAAAUAGUUGAAAUGUUCUUCUAUGCCCAGAAAAUGCAUAUCUCUGCAUAAAGUUUGUUGCUUCUUCUAUGAUAUUUAAUGUCAAUCUUGAAUAAAGUUUGACUUUUGUCUUUUCUUCUAAUUGACAUAAUAAAUUGUCUCUUCAAUAUUACUUUAAACUGAUAUCUGGAGAGUACUAACACUUUUCAUGUAAUGCUAACAAUAAUUAAAGUGAAAAAUGCAAAGGGCAAUAACUCCAAAAGUAUGCAAAGAGUUAUGGUUCUUAAACACAGCACAUUACUCAAAAAGAUCUAUAUCUGUGAAGUUUCAAAUUAAUAUCUCCAGUACUUUUUAAGCUUAAUGAUCAAGACAAAAAUUAAGCAUAGAGAAGUAAAAAAUGGCAAUAAACCCCAAAUCAUGCAAUAAAAAGUUAUGGUUCCUUGGCAUUGUAACUUCUCAUAAAUGAGAUUUAGUUAUAUGUGGAGUUUUAAAAUUAUUGUCUCUAACAUCUUUUGUGCUAUGCUUUCAGAGGCUUUAAAUCUAUUGUAAAAAUUAAUGUGUGAAAAGUAAAUAAGUCAUAAUGUCUGAUAAAUUUCUUACAAUCAGGAUAAGUAAAUACUAGCUAGUAAAUACUGCAUCCUCUAAGAUUUAACAACACAGCAUACAUCUCAGAUCUGAUAAAACUACUGCCCUCUUAUCUAGUAAUCCAUGAAUGGGGGUUAAUAGUUUACUCAUGCUGACCAGAAUGUUCCAUUUGAUUAUUUUGGGAGAGGCAACAUUAUACAUGUUUUUAUGUAGAAUUUGUCUUAAAACAGCAUGCUAAAUUAUCUUUCAAAAGCUUAUUUCUACUCAAUCUAUUUAGGUAUUAGAUAUAGUUAUACAUUCAAAUGAAUGUAAAAAAUAAAAUGAUGGGUGCUAUGGUUUUUGGAAAAUCCCUCACAAUUUAAAAUUAUAAUGGACUGUCCAUGCAGUUACACCGUUGUAAAGUUUGAAUUCAAAGGAAUUGAGGUCAGUCAAAGCUUGCAAACACAAAGGAAAUUAUUGAUAUUGUAGCAAUUCUGGAGAUAUUUUGUUUAAAAUGUAAGGGUGCAUAUUUUUGAUUUCUCAAAGAAAACAUUUAAAGUCUUAUUAGUGUGGUAAAUAGAAAUGAGAAGUUUUAACUGAAGUGUGAAUGUGUAGACAAGAAGAUAAACAGCAGAAUCAUUCCCAGUCAAAGUUUCAGGUAAACAACUUUUACAUACAAUAAUUAUUGUUAUUUAUGCAGAAACUGUUUAGUUUUUUGACAGUAAAAAUAUGAAGUGGUAUUGUAUAAAAUUGUGUUUUAUAUUUGUUUUGUUUGUAACUUGACUAAAAAGAAAGCUGCAUGUACAAUGUACAUAUAAAGAAUGUAGGAAUAUAAAGAAUGUAGGAAGAUCUUCAUCAUUUCUUAAAUACAAUAUGUUAGAAAUUUUAAGUUUGAGAAAAAAAAUAUAGAAAUUAAUCAGUAAGUACAAUAUCAUUAUGUACAAUAUUACAUCAAUCAAACUAUAGAUAACCUGAGGUACCUAUUACUACAACUUUCAUGCUAUAAAACAAUUUUCCUUGUGUGUCACAUGUGGAGCAGAUUAACAGUAACUGAUUUAUUAGUAAGUUUCAUUCCUUCAUUGUUGUAAUUCAGCUUUCAUGGUGCAGUAGAUAAUUAUAUAACCAUAACUAGACAGUCUAGAGUAACAUGCUAUUAGGAGAAUGACAGUUCAUAACAGAAACAGCAUUAAAUAAGAAUUAUUAUUUUGCAGACACAAAGCAAUGAGGAGCAGCCUGGAGCAACACAUUUGAUCUUCAGUGGCUUUACAAAGGACCAAGUGAUGGCAGAACUGAUGCCAUAUGCCUCAAAAGUAAGAAAGGUACAGCAAAGCUCUUCAGAAUGCUAUUCAAUAUAGAAGAGAUUAAAGGCCACUCAUUGUUUGGUAUGAGGAAAGGGAACAGAGAGUCUGACGCCAGACCUUCUUGUGCAGACAAGGCAAAACUUAAGUUCUUGGAAGAUUGUGCGCUCGAAAAGUUGCCGACAACCUAAAGGACUGAACUCAAACCGUCCAGGAAUAGCAAGAUAAACUGAAGAAAAUAAAUGGACUAAUGUUUUGCUAUUUUUUGAGACAAUAUAUAAUUUCAUAUGGAAACAUUAAAAAGGAUUAUUUUUUAAAAUUUGUUUGUUUCCAAUUUAGGGUACAGGGUGACUUUCAAGCAGUUUCCAGCUAUUGCCACCCACAAGGUGGAAAAUUUCUGAAAGGGUGAAAAUAGGUGGCAUUUAGUGGAAACUGAAUUUGCCACUAUCUGGUGGCAAAAUGGUGGAAAAGUGUCUAAAUACUCCACCAAUUUUCCACCCUUAUGGUGGCAAAAGGUGGAAAUAAGUGGCAUUUGGUGGAAAAUAAGUUUGCCACUCAAUGGUGGCAUAAUGGUGGAAAUUUGUCUAAAUACUCCACCAAUUUUCCACCAUUAUGGUGGCAAUAAGUGGAAACAAGUGGCAUCUAGUGGAAAAUGAGUUUGCCACCCUAAGGUGGCAUAAUGGUGGCAUUAUGGUGAAAGUUUGUCUAAAUACUCCACCAAUUUUCCACUCAUUGGUGGCAUUUAGUGUAAAAAAGGUGGAAUUAACUGGAAAAUUAUAUAACAUCAGUCCUGCUCAAAUUUUUCACCAUUUUCAUGAUUUGGGUGGCGUUUUGGUGGCGUUUUGGUGGCAUUAUUGGUGGAAAAUUGUCUAAAUACUCCACCAUUGAAAAGGGUG